AGGAUGAACGCUGGCGGCGUGCCUAACACAUGCAAGUCGAACGUCCUGUCUCGCAAGAGGCAGGGAGUGGCGGACGGGUGAGUACCACGUGGGUCAUCUACCGUGAGGUGAGGAAUACCGGCGAGAAAUCGCCGACAAGACCGCAUAGGCUCGAUGCAAGUCGAGCAAAGCUCUUUCGAGAGAGGGAGCGCCACACGAGGAGCCUGCGCCCGAUUAGCUAGCUGGUGGAGUAACGGUUCACCAGGGCGACGAUCGGUAGCUGGUCUGAGAGGACGAUCAGCCACACUGGGAUUGAGAACGGCCCAGACUCCUACGGGGGCAGCAGUGAGGAAUUUCGCAAUGGGGCAACCCUGAACGAGCAACGCCGCGUGCAGGAAGAGGUUUCGGAUCGUAAACUGCUUUUCUCGGGGAAGAGAACGGACGGUACCCGAGGAAUCGAGCCCCGGCUAACUACGUGCCAGCAGCCGCGGU
RNAcentral lists this ribosomal RNA (471 nucleotides) under uncultured bacterium. RNAcentral describes it as "SSU rRNA". It matches the Rfam family "Bacterial small subunit ribosomal RNA", at positions 26 to 521 of the family's 1533-position model. The record is from RNAcentral.